GGGGACGUAAUGGUUUCGACGGGGUAUGCUGAAGGUAGAGUUGCGUGUCGAGGUGCCGUUGGCCUCGUUAAAAAGCGGCAAGCCAUUAACUGGCAGAAAUCUUCAAAUGGGCUUCCAGCCCGCACUUCGCGCUGCUUAAUUGACAGCACAGUGACUGCACAGCCCAGCUGAUGGCGUUGCAGAAACUGACAUAAAAGUCAGCUAGUCCAGGUUCAUGCCUCUACGGCCUGAGAUGAAACCAAGUUGAGGAUUGCGCGAAAGCGGCCGGUUCAGGGGCAGGCCCAGCGUGAAAUAAAAAUACCUGAGCUACACACGUAGAUGCUUGCUAGAAGGUGCCUCGGACGACGGUUCAAUUCCGUCCGUCUCCACCA
Molecule: transfer-messenger RNA, 371 nt
Filed under: Deinococcaceae
Lineage: Bacteria; Thermotogati; Deinococcota; Deinococci; Deinococcales
Also listed under: 2 other names
Description: Deinococcus_C cellulosilyticus Standard tmRNA
Rfam family: transfer-messenger RNA
About the family: Bacterial tmRNA, also known as 10Sa RNA or SsrA, is named for its dual tRNA and mRNA-like properties. Its role is to liberate the mRNA from a stalled ribosome.
Source: RNAcentral